CCAGGAUCAACACAGAGAUAAACACAGAGAUAAACACAGAGGGCACAACCACGCCAGGAAACAUAGAAGACAUACCAACAAGUAACAAUGGGACACACAGGUGUGUAUAUAUACACAGACACUAAUCACAAGAACAGGACACAGCUGGAGGAGGCAAAGACAAGACGGCAGCAGGUGAUCAGACACAGAAGGAUCAAAUCAGGGCGGGGCAAACAAAUCAAAACACAAGGUGAGUGAGUGAAAGCCAGGAACAUGACAGGGAUUCUGUAUCCAGUAGUGCUGUUUGCAGAGACCAGGGAAGCAGUCCUGCAGCUGUAACUCUCAUUUCUCCUCCAAGCCAAAGGCCAGCCGGCUGACAGCCAACUUCCUUCCAAACCCAGUCCUUGGGAGUCUGUCCCCUUCCUCCUGGUUCGGCCAUGGUUUACACAGACCAACAGCUGCAGAGCAGACAAGCACUGUGAGUACCUCUUUCUGUUAGCCUUGAGAGUAAGGAGAUAAUCUGUCUGACCAUGCACAGCUGUGAGGGCAGCCUGACGAGCUACUGGGAUCCAACAUAUGACAGGGAGGGGGUUUAGUGGAGCAAGACCCUAUCCUCCAAUCCAGGCCACCGUGGCAGAUCUGGGUCUCGGACGGAAUGGGCAGAGAGGAAGCCUCCGGAAGCUGCAGUACAUGCCCUGCACGUGUGACAGAGGAAAUUUGUUGUUUAUGUCGUGAGUCUGCAGUUGCCACAUUGGAGUUUAUUGUCCGGUCCUGGUGAUAAAUGGAGAAGCCAUCCACAGCGCAAUCUUCUCCUCUUCAUCUUGUAUCCUUG
RNAcentral lists this long non-coding RNA (811 nucleotides) under Cottoperca gobio. RNAcentral describes it as "lncRNA (ENSCGOG00000002247.1)". The record is from RNAcentral. Lineage: Eukaryota; Metazoa; Chordata; Actinopteri; Perciformes; Bovichtidae.